GACGAACGCUGGCGGCGUGCUUAACACAUGCAAGUCGAACGGAAAGGCUCCAGCUUGCUGGAGUACUCGAGUGGCGAACGGGUGAGUAACACGUGGGUAAUCUGCCCUGCACUCUGGGAUAAGCCUGGGAAACUGGGUCUAAUACUGGAUAUGACCUUUCUCCUUAUGGGGUUUGGUGGAAAGUUUUUCGGUGUAGGAUGAGCCCGCGGCCUAUCAGCUUGUUGGUGGUGAUGGCCUACCAAGGCGACGACGGGUAGCCGGCCUGAGAGGGUGAUCGGCCACAUUGGGACUGAGAUACGGCCCAGACUCCUACGGGAGGCAGCAGUGGGGAAUAUUGCACAAUGGGCGGAAGCCUGAUGCAGCGACGCCGCGUGAGGGAUGACGGCCUUCGGGUUGUAAACCUCUUUCAGCAGGAACGAAGCGUAAGUGACGGUACCUGCAGAAGAAGCACCGGCUAACUAUGUG
This 465-nucleotide ribosomal RNA is filed under the name uncultured bacterium. RNAcentral describes it as "partial 16S ribosomal RNA". It matches the Rfam family "Bacterial small subunit ribosomal RNA", at positions 28 to 507 of the family's 1533-position model. The record is from RNAcentral.